CCUACGGGCGGCAGCAGUGAGGAAUAUUGGUCAAUGGGCGCGAGCCUGAACCAGCCAAGUCGCGUGAGGGAAUACGGUCCUAUGGAUUGUAAACCUCUUUUGCCGGGGAGCAAAAGACGGGACGUGUGGCGUCCCGAGAGUACCCGAAGAAAAAGCAUCGGCUAAAUCCGGUCCAGCAGCCGCGGUAAUACGGAGGAUGCGAGCGUUUUCCGGAUUUAUUGGGUUUAAAGGGUGCGCAGGCGGAAGAUCUAGUCAGCGGUAAAAUUGUGGGGCUCAACCUCGUCGCGCCGUUGAAACUGGUGUUCUUGAGUGAGUGAGAAGUAUGCGGAAUGCGUGGUGUAGCGGUGAAAUGCAUAGAUAUCACGCAGAACUCCGAUUGCGAAGGCAGCAUACCGGCGCUCAACUGACGCUGAUGCACGAAAGUGUGGGUAUCGAACAGGAUUAGAUACCCGGGUAGUC
RNAcentral lists this ribosomal RNA (459 nucleotides) under uncultured bacterium. RNAcentral describes it as "partial 16S ribosomal RNA". It matches the Rfam family "Bacterial small subunit ribosomal RNA", at positions 338 to 795 of the family's 1533-position model. The record is from RNAcentral.